Molecule: ribosomal RNA, 999 nt
Filed under: Janthinobacterium sp. UA-JF1514
Lineage: Bacteria; Pseudomonadati; Pseudomonadota; Betaproteobacteria; Burkholderiales; Oxalobacteraceae
Description: bacterial SSU rRNA
Rfam family: Bacterial small subunit ribosomal RNA
Source: RNAcentral
UGCAAGUCGAACGGCAGCACGGAGCUUGCUCUGGUGGCGAGUGGCGAACGGGUGAGUAAUAUAUCGGAACGUACCCUAGAGUGGGGGAUAACGUAGCGAAAGUUACGCUAAUACCGCAUACGAUCUAAGGAUGAAAGUGGGGGAUCGCAAGACCUCAUGCUCGUGGAGCGGCCGAUAUCUGAUUAGCUAGUUGGUAGGGUAAAAGCCUACCAAGGCAUCGAUCAGUAGCUGGUCUGAGAGGACGACCAGCCACACUGGAACUGAGACACGGUCCAGACUCCUACGGGAGGCAGCAGUGGGGAAUUUUGGACAAUGGGCGAAAGCCUGAUCCAGCAAUGCCGCGUGAGUGAAGAAGGCCUUCGGGUUGUAAAGCUCUUUUGUCAGGGAAGAAACGGUGAGAGCUAAUAUCUUUUGCUAAUGACGGUACCUGAAGAAUAAGCACCGGCUAACUACGUGCCAGCAGCCGCGGUAAUACGUAGGGUGCAAGCGUUAAUCGGAAUUACUGGGCGUAAAGCGUGCGCAGGCGGUUUUGUAAGUCUGAUGUGAAAUCCCCGGGCUCAACCUGGGAAUUGCAUUGGAGACUGCAAGGCUAGAAUCUGGCAGAGGGGGGUAGAAUUCCACGUGUAGCAGUGAAAUGCGUAGAUAUGUGGAGGAACACCGAUGGCGAAGGCAGCCCCCUGGGUCAAGAUUGACGCUCAUGCACGAAAGCGUGGGGAGCAAACAGGAUUAGAUACCCUGGUAGUCCACGCCCUAAACGAUGUCUACUAGUUGUCGGGUCUUAAUUGACUUGGUAACGCAGCUAACGCGUGAAGUAGACCGCCUGGGGAGUACGGUCGCAAGAUUAAAACUCAAAGGAAUUGACGGGGACCCGCACAAGCGGUGGAUGAUGUGGAUUAUUUCGAUGCAACGCGAAAAACCUUACCUACCCUUGACAUGGCUGGAAUCCCGGAGAGAUUUGGGGAGUGCUCGAAAGAGAACCAGUACACAGGUGCUGCAUGG